AACCAUAGAAACCUGCGGAGUACCUGCGGAAGGAUCAUUACCGAGUUAUACAACUCAUCAACCCUGUGAACAUACCUAAAACGUUGCCUCGGCGGGAACAGACGGCCCCGUAACACGGGCCGCCCCCGCCAGAGGACCCCCUAACUCUGUUUCUACAAUGUUUUUUCUGAGUAAACAAGCAAAUAAAUCAAAACUUUUAACAAUGGAUCU
This 210-nucleotide unclassified non-coding RNA is filed under the name soil metagenome. RNAcentral's name for it is "partial contains 5.8S ribosomal RNA, internal transcribed spacer 2, and large subunit ribosomal RNA". The record is from RNAcentral.